UACGUAGGGUGCAAGCGUUGUCCGGAAUCAUUGGGCGUAAAGCGCGCGUAGGUGGAUUCGUAAGUCCGUUGUGAAAGUCAAAGGCUCAACCUUUGAAUGCCGAUGGAUACUGCGGAGCUAGAGUACGGAAGAGGCGAGUGGAAUUCCUGGUGUAGCGGUGGAAUGCGCAGAUAUCAGGAGGAACCCCAAUAGCGAAGGCAGCUCGCUGGGACGUUACUGACACUAAGGCGCGAAAGCGUGGGGAGCGAACAGG
This 253-nucleotide ribosomal RNA is filed under the name uncultured bacterium. Its description in RNAcentral is "partial 16S ribosomal RNA". It matches the Rfam family "Bacterial small subunit ribosomal RNA", at positions 524 to 776 of the family's 1533-position model. The record is from RNAcentral.